AGUCGAACGAGCGAGAGAGAGCUUGCUUUCUCGAACGAGUGGCGAACGGGUGAGUAACGCGUGAGGAACCUGCCUCAAAGAGGGGGACAACAGUUGGAAACGACUGCUAAUACCGCAUAAGCCCACGGGUCGGCAUCGACCAGAGGGAAAAGGAGAAAUCCGCUUUGAGAUGGCCUCGCGUCCGAUUAGCUAGUUGGUGAGGUAACGGCCCACCAAGGCAACGAUCGGUAGCCGGACUGAGAGGUUGAACGGCCACAUUGGGACUGAGACACGGCCCAGACUCCUACGGGAGGCAGCAGUGGGGAAUAUUGCACAAUGGGGGAAACCCUGAUGCAGCGACGCCGCGUGGAGGAAGAAGGUCUUCGGAUUGUAAACUCCUGUUGUUGAGGAAGAUAAUGACGGUACUCAACAAGGAAGUGACGGCUAACUACGUGCCAGCAGCCGCGGUAAAACGUAGGUCACAAGCGUUGUCCGGAAUUACUGGGUGUAAAGGGAGCGCAGGCGGGAAGACAAGUUGGAAGUGAAAUCCAUGGGCUCAACCCAUGAACUGCUUUCAAAACUGUUUUUCUUGAGUAGUGCAGAGGUAGGCGGAAUUCCCGGUGUAGCGGUGGAAUGCGUAGAUAUCGGGAGGAACACCAGUGGCGAAAGCGGCCUACUGGGCACCAACUGACGCUGAGGCUCGAAAGUGUGGGUAGCAAACAGGAUUAGAUACCCUGGUAGUCCACACCGUAAACGAUGAUUACUAGGUGUUGGAGGAUUGACCCCUUCAGUGCCGCA
This 777-nucleotide ribosomal RNA is filed under the name uncultured bacterium. RNAcentral describes it as "bacterial SSU rRNA". It matches the Rfam family "Bacterial small subunit ribosomal RNA", at positions 60 to 850 of the family's 1533-position model. The record is from RNAcentral.